Molecule: long non-coding RNA, 668 nt
Organism: Musa acuminata AAA Group (dessert banana)
Lineage: Eukaryota; Viridiplantae; Streptophyta; Magnoliopsida; Zingiberales; Musaceae
Exons: 2
Source: RefSeq, a predicted model, not a curated record
AGUUGAGUGGGUAGUGUGCUUGCACCAUCAAAAGUGGCUCCUUUGUGUAAUAUAUUAAUGCCUGUGUUGUUUACUUUUGAGAAAGGAAAUCCUCUCCUCCAAGGGGGCUAUAAAUCCUCUACAACUCUAACCUUGGCUUCUCAUCACUUCUCUUUCCCUUUACCUCUCUCUCUCUCUCUCUUCAGGAACUAGAUCUUGUAAGGGUUUGUAGAUCAAGUGGCCUUUCUUUUUCUCCAUGGAGGAGAGUCUUGUGGAGCUCAAUCGUCAAGAGAGGAAGAGAUGUGAAGUGGCCCUUUUCACUCCCUUCCUCCGGGUAAGGGAGUGAGUUUCCUGCUUCCCAAUAGAGAACCAGAGGUGAUGGUGGGGAGAAUACAGGAAUCAAGGGGCCUGUGUCCAAACUCUUGUGAGAGAGAGAGAGAGAGAGAGGUUUCAGAUAACUAUGAUCCUAGAGAGAGAGAGAGAGAGAGAGAGAGAGAGAGAGAGAGGUUUCAGAUAACUAUGAUCCUUUGUCUUUUAUUUGAUUCCUUUACUUGUGAGCGAUAUUUUUAUGAUGACCACCCAAUUUCCUCGUGGUGUUUUGUUUAUUACUACAAAUCACCAGUGAUACAGAAGUGGAAUAUAGCUUUUGCAUUGAUAUAUAUGUGGAUGAGACCGAAGAUUCUACGACA